This 492-nucleotide ribosomal RNA is filed under the name uncultured bacterium. Its description in RNAcentral is "partial 16S ribosomal RNA". It matches the Rfam family "Bacterial small subunit ribosomal RNA", at positions 29 to 507 of the family's 1533-position model. The record is from RNAcentral.
AGUGAACGCUGGCGGUAGGCCUAACACAUGCAAGUCGAACGGCAGCACAGUAAGAGCUUGCUCUUACGGGUGGCGAGUGGCGGACGGGUGAGGAAUACAUCGGAAUCUACUUUUUCGUGGGGGAUAACGUAGGGAAACUUACGCUAAUACCGCAUACGACCUACGGGUGAAAGCAGGGGAUCUUCGGACCUUGCGCGAUUGAAUGAGCCGAUGUCGGAUUAGCUAGUUGGCGGGGUAAAGGCCCACCAAGGCGACGAUCCGUAGCUGGUCUGAGAGGAUGAUCAGCGACACUGGAACUGCGACACGGUCCAGACGCCUACGGGAGGCAGCAGUGGGGAAAAUUGGACAAUGGGCGGAAGCCUGAUCCAGCCAUACCGCGUGGGUGAAGAAGGCCUUCGGGUUGUAAAGCCCUUUUGUUGGGAAAGAAAAGCAGCAGGUUAAUACCCCGCUGUUCUGACGGUACCCAAAGAAUAAGCACCGGCUAACUUCGUG